ACCGUCUCUCAGAUAAUCAACUUUCAGUUCAUCACCACCCUUUAGAUAAUCGACUCUCAAGUCCAUCAGGGAGAGAGGAGUCUCUCCUUGCACCAUAGGCUUCCCCCCCAGAAACACAAUUGAAAACUCUUGUGUUUCCAUGUCACUCGUGGCACUGCCCAGAGAACAUCUGCCCUCGUGACUUCUUCCCUCCAUGUCCAGUGCUCUCAUCACUGCGCAUGGACCAGGACUGCCUUUAGGGUUCCCCUUUUAAGGAUGCUCCACCCAGUUUCAAAAAAAGCAGCAGUCUCUCUACUUCGGGACACCAGCCCCCCCCAAAUUUAUCCCCUGGGGCCGAGGGGCCUUGUGAACAGAGAUCUUCCCCUCCAUGAAGACAGAGGGCAUCCCACACCCUCCUCAGCCAUCUCUGCUCACAUCACUGCUUCACUGCACUCUCUUUGGCUUCAAGGCAUUGCCUCCUCCUAAAUGCAGUCUCUGUGUUACAGGAAAAACACGGGUCUGUCCAUGGCCAUACAAGAAAGAGUCCAGCUCAAGGCCACUCCAUCAUCUCCUCCCACCCAGGAUUCUUCUCACCUCUUCUAACAUCUCUCACUCUCACUCACUUUCAUCACACUUGCCCACGGCUUCAUCUCUCUCUCUUCGUUCAGUCUCAGGAGGAUCAGUAUUUAGGGAGAUCUGGAACGCAGAUUCCUAGCCCAAGGACCUCAGAACUUUUCCUCCUGGAACUCAGUUUCUUUCCUGCAGCAUUAGAUUUCAUGCAAUGCUGUGUCCAGGUGUGGCUCAUCAGGAGGAGAGAGAGAUGGAGUUCCUGGAGUGGGUCCAGAGGGCAGCAAAGAUGAGGAAGGGCCUGGAGCAUCUCCCUGCCGAGGAAAGGCUGAG
Long non-coding RNA from Passer domesticus (house sparrow), 879 nucleotides. RefSeq lists it as uncharacterized. The record is from RefSeq and is a predicted model, not a curated record. The transcript has 3 exons. NCBI's taxonomy places the organism in Eukaryota, Metazoa, Chordata, Aves, Passeriformes, Passeridae.